UACGAAGGGGGCUAGCGUUGCUCGGAAUCACUGGGCGUAAAGCGCACGUAGGCGGCUUUUUAAGUCAGGGGUGAAAUCCUGGAGCUCAACUCCAGAACUGCCUUUGAUACUGGAAAGCUUGAGUCCGGAAGAGGUGAGUGGAACUCCGAGUGUAGAGGUGAAAUUCGUAGAUAUCAGGAAGAACACCAAUGGCGAAAGCAGCUUUCUGGGACGGUACUGACGCUGAGACGCGAAAGCGUGGGGAGCGAACAGG
This 253-nucleotide ribosomal RNA is filed under the name uncultured bacterium. RNAcentral describes it as "partial 16S ribosomal RNA". It matches the Rfam family "Bacterial small subunit ribosomal RNA", at positions 524 to 776 of the family's 1533-position model. The record is from RNAcentral.